RNAcentral lists this ribosomal RNA (253 nucleotides) under uncultured bacterium. RNAcentral describes it as "partial 16S ribosomal RNA". It matches the Rfam family "Bacterial small subunit ribosomal RNA", at positions 524 to 776 of the family's 1533-position model. The record is from RNAcentral.
UACAGAGGGGGCAAGCGUUGUUCGGAAUUACUGGGCGUAAAGGGCGCGUAGGCGGCCUGUUAAGUCGGACGUGAAAUCCCCGGGCUCAACCCGGGAACUGCGUCCGAUACUGGCAGGCUUGAAUCCGGGAGAGGGAUGUGGAAUUCCAGGUGUAGCGGUGAAAUGCGUAGAUAUCAGGAGGAACACCGAUGGCGAAGGCAGGUCUCUGGGCCACUACUGACGCUGAGAAGCGAAAGCGUGGGGAGCGAACAGG